This 702-nucleotide ribosomal RNA is filed under the name Triticum aestivum (bread wheat). RNAcentral describes it as "partial small subunit ribosomal RNA". Lineage: Eukaryota; Viridiplantae; Streptophyta; Magnoliopsida; Poales; Poaceae. The record is from RNAcentral.
AUGGACGGCAGACCCGCGACGGCGGAUGACGUGGUGGAGGCGAUGCGGGAGUUCGUCUGGUUUCCGCCGCCGCGCCCCGCCUCCGAGUUCUUCUCCCGCUUCAGCGCCCCGCGGUCUUGCUCCAAGUGGAUCAGCCGCCUCGAGUGCAACCUCUACUACUAUGGGACCAACUACUUCAUCUUGAUCCUAUUGAUAGGGAUGAGCUUCCUUCAGAAACCAGUUGCUAUACUUACAGCUUUUGCAACUGGCCUCAGCAUUGCAUUUUUCAGUGACAGUUUUGCUGUUACUUCCACCAACAAGGUUAUAAGCAUUGUCAGAAAAUUUUCACCGGAUUUAGCGGCCCAGAUGAGACCAUACAUAAAUGAUUACCUUAUUGCCUGGUUUUAUUAUUAUUCCUUUACUCGGUUUCUUGGAGAGCUUUGUUUAGAUUGUUGCCAAUGGCAUUUCAGCUCUGUCCGUCAUGGCCGACCAAGUAUGAAAGGAUCAACUCAUAUUUGUGGCCGACCUCUGUCUAUGUGGGUCUUUGCCCUGUUCCUUUUUGAAGUUAGCUGCAUUUUCUGGGCGAGCUCCUGCAAUUUCCUGAUAGUUCCGUGGGAACUAUACGUUGGUCUACUCGUAACCUUGAUUCAUGCCAGCUUCAGAGAACGUAAUCUGAAAGGCCGUCUCAACAGAUUCAGGAAGGAAUUUCGAGAAGCAUGGUGA